Molecule: long non-coding RNA, 412 nt
Organism: Lepus europaeus (European hare)
Lineage: Eukaryota; Metazoa; Chordata; Mammalia; Lagomorpha; Leporidae
Exons: 3
Source: RefSeq, a predicted model, not a curated record
GGGUUACCGGCGGAGGCUGGAAGGCGCAGGCGCAGCAGUUGCUGCUUCAGGGCGGGAGGGAGAAUACCUCAGUAGUAUUAAAAUUUAUACCAUGAGCCCUUUGGAGGAUGGGAGAGAGGAGAAGCAUGGUGAACAUCCAGCCAGUGGGCUGUAUAAGGCCCUGCUAAAUCAUUUGAUCUGGCCCUGUCAAGGCAACCACAGUCCAGCUCUCUGCUAUGGCCUGGGAAAGCAUUAGAAGAUGGCCCAAGUCCUUGGGCACCUGCACCCACGUGGGAGACCCAGAAGAAGCUCCUGGCUCCUGGCUUCAGAUCGGCACAGCUCCAGCCAUUGAGGCCAUCUGGAGAGUGAACCAGCGGAUGGAAGACCUCUCCCUCUGUCUCUACCUCCCUCUGUAACUCUUUCAAAUAAAUAA